RNAcentral lists this ribosomal RNA (301 nucleotides) under uncultured bacterium. RNAcentral's name for it is "partial 16S ribosomal RNA". It matches the Rfam family "Bacterial small subunit ribosomal RNA", at positions 509 to 807 of the family's 1533-position model. The record is from RNAcentral.
CAGUAGCCGCGGGAAUGCGAAGGGGGCUAGCGUUGCUCGGAAUGACUGGGCGUAAAGGGCGCGUAGGCGGAUUGUUUAGUUAGGCGUGAAAUUCCUGGGCUUAACCUGGGGACUGCGCUUAAUACAGGCAGUCUAGAGUGAGGAAGAGGGUUGUGGAAUUCCCAGUGUAGAGGUGAAAUUCGUAGAUAUUGGGAAGAACACCGGUGGCGAAGGCGGCAACCUGGUCCUUGACUGACGCUGAGGCGCGAAAGCGUGGGGAGCAAACAGGAUUAGAGACCCCUGUAGUCCCUGUCUCUUAUAC